This 253-nucleotide ribosomal RNA is filed under the name uncultured bacterium. RNAcentral's name for it is "partial 16S ribosomal RNA". It matches the Rfam family "Bacterial small subunit ribosomal RNA", at positions 524 to 776 of the family's 1533-position model. The record is from RNAcentral.
UACGUAGGGUGCGAGCGUUGUCCGGAAUUAUUGGGCGUAAAGCGCUUGUAGGCGGUCUGUCAAGUCGCGUGUGAAAUCCCUAGGCUUAACCUAGGAAGUGCGCGCGAAACUGGCGGACUUGAGUGCCGGAGAGGGUCGCGGAAUUCCCGGUGUAGAGGUGAAAUUCGUAGAUAUCGGGAGGAACACCAGUGGCGAAGGCGGCGACCUGGACGGACACUGACGCUGAGACGCGAAAGCGUGGGGAGCAAACAGG